This 254-nucleotide ribosomal RNA is filed under the name uncultured bacterium. Its description in RNAcentral is "partial 16S ribosomal RNA". It matches the Rfam family "Bacterial small subunit ribosomal RNA", at positions 524 to 777 of the family's 1533-position model. The record is from RNAcentral.
UACGUAGGGUGCGAGCGUUAAUCGGAAUUACUGGGCGUAAAGCGUGCGCAGGCGGUGAUGUAAGACAGUUGUGAAAUCCCCGGGCUCAACCUGGGAAUUGCAUCUGUGACUGCAUCGCUAGAGUACGGUAGAGGGGGAUGGAAUUCCGCGUGUAGCAGUGAAAUGCGUAGAUAUGCGGAGGAACACCGAUGGCGAAGGCAAUCCCCUGGACCUGUACUGACGCUCAUGCACGAAAGCGUGGGGAGCAAACGAGG